GACGAACCGUGCGACCGUUAUUCGGAAUCACUGGGCUUAAAGCGCGUGUAGGCGGGAGGGCACGUCCGUCGCUGAAAUCCCCCGGCUCAACCGGGGAACGGGCGCGGAUACGACCUUCCUGGAGGGGCGUAGGGGGACCUGUAACUUCCGGUGGAGCGGUGAAAUGCGUUGAGAUCGGAAGGAACGCCCGUGGCGAAAGCGAGGUCCUGGACGCCAUCUGACGCUGAGACGCGAAAGCCAGGGGAGCGAACGGG
This 254-nucleotide ribosomal RNA is filed under the name uncultured bacterium. RNAcentral describes it as "partial 16S ribosomal RNA". It matches the Rfam family "Bacterial small subunit ribosomal RNA", at positions 524 to 776 of the family's 1533-position model. The record is from RNAcentral.